This 198-nucleotide ribosomal RNA is filed under the name uncultured bacterium. RNAcentral describes it as "partial 16S ribosomal RNA". It matches the Rfam family "Bacterial small subunit ribosomal RNA", at positions 328 to 539 of the family's 1533-position model. The record is from RNAcentral.
ACGCUCGACACCUACGGGAGGCAGCAGGUGGGGAAUAUUGCACAAUGGGGAAACCCUGAUGCAGCGACGCCGCGUGAGUGAAGAAGUAUUUCGGUAUGUAAAGCUCUAUCAGCAGGGAAGAAGAUGACGGUACCUGAGUAAGAAGCCCCGGCUAACUACGUGUCAGCAGCCGCGGUAAUCUGAGCGGGCUGGCAAGGC